This 491-nucleotide long non-coding RNA is filed under the name Canis lupus familiaris (dog). RNAcentral's name for it is "lncRNA (ENSCAFG00030018156.1)". Lineage: Eukaryota; Metazoa; Chordata; Mammalia; Carnivora; Canidae. The record is from RNAcentral.
CAAUAAAUGACUCAGAAAGGGAAUGAGCUGAGAAGAAAGGAGGUAGAGGAGAAAGAAGAAAGAAGAAGUUGUCAUCCAGGAACGACUUCCUGACUGACAUCUUUGUAGAAAGAGGGGGCACUCAGAAGUAUCUGGGAGAGCUGAGUUCUACGAUUUAGAAUGUGUGAUGUUGAAAUAAACAUAAAGUAAUUUUACUCAUUAGCUAAUGAAGCCUAGGAAUUCAGUGUGCAAAUGGCUGAGAGGAUUGAAGUUGGAGACAGUAGAAGAUUAUUUAGGAGGUCAAUCAAUGAAGUAAGAAGCAGCUGAAUGAGAAGAUAGAUGGUGAAGAUCUUUGGAAAUGAAUUCAUGUCGGAGAUAAUGCACUUUUGAACUCUGGCAUGGGAAAAUCACUUGGCAAGGCCCUGCCCUAUUCUCAACACUGGACAGGGAAGGAGCUACUCACCAAGUUCAGCCUCACCACUAAUUCCAGCCAUGGCUCUGGUGAUCAGUUA